CAGUCGCCGCGGGAAUACGUAGGGUGCGAGCGUUAAUCGGAAUUACUGGGCGUAAAGCGGGCGCAGACGGUUACUUAAGCAGGAUGUGAAAUCCCCAGGCUCAACUUGGGAAUUGCGUUCUGAACUGGGUGGCUAGAGUGUGUCAGAGGGGGGUAGAACUCCACGUGUAGCAGUGAAAUGCGUAGAGAUGUGGAGGAAUACCGAUGGCGAAGGCAGCCCCCUGGGAUAGCACUGACGUUCAUGCCCGAAAGCGUGGGUAGCAAACAGGAUUAGAUACCCCCGUAGUCCCUGUCUCUUAUAA
RNAcentral lists this ribosomal RNA (301 nucleotides) under uncultured bacterium. Its description in RNAcentral is "partial 16S ribosomal RNA". It matches the Rfam family "Bacterial small subunit ribosomal RNA", at positions 509 to 809 of the family's 1533-position model. The record is from RNAcentral.